RNAcentral lists this ribosomal RNA (468 nucleotides) under uncultured bacterium. Its description in RNAcentral is "partial 16S ribosomal RNA". It matches the Rfam family "Bacterial small subunit ribosomal RNA", at positions 28 to 507 of the family's 1533-position model. The record is from RNAcentral.
GACGAACGCUGGCGGCGUGCUUAACACAUGCAAGUCGAACGGAAAGGCCCUGCUUUUGUGGGGUGCUCGAGUGGCGAACGGGUGAGUAACACGUGUGUAACCUGCCCUUGACUUUGGGAUAACUUCAGGGAACUGGGGCUAAUACCGGAUAGGAGAUCCUGCUGCAUGGUGGGGGUUGGAAAGUUUCGGCGGUGGGGGAUGGACUCGCGGCUUCUCGGCUUGUUUGUGGGGUAGUGGCUUACCAAGGGUUUGACGGGUAGCCCGCCUGGGAGGGUGGCCGGCGACCAGGGGACUGCGGGACGGCCCAGUCGCCUACGGGAGGCAGCAGGCGGGAGUAUGGCACAACGGGCGGACGUCUGAGGCAGAAACCCCGCGUGCGGGAUGCUGGCUUUCGGGUGGUAAACCGCUUUGGCCGGUGACGAAGCGUGAGUGACGGUACUGGGUAAAAAAGCACCGGCUAACUACGUG